GUUGUUUUUUUUAUUUAAAAUUUUUAAUUCUCUAUGUACACUCCUGUUUAAGCAUAUAUUCACUGUCAAUAAUGAGAUAUUAACAAUCUUAAAUAAAAGUUAAUGAAAAUUAGCAUCUUUGUGUGAUUAACGUGUAAGUCUGUUAGUCAGUUGUGUUGUAUGUCUGUGGUGUGUGUUUGCACCGUUUUGGCUGCUGGAUUCCAAUUAUUGUUACGUUAUUCGAUUAUGUCGGUUUCGGUUAUUCGACCAAUUUUGUCAAUAUGACGGAACUAUAAACAACUGUCAUGCAAGUGGGAGGUUUAUCUAGAUAUAAAACCAGGUGCAACAUACCGCUUUCUUAUGCAAAUGUAUGUUCCAAGUCAGGAAUAUUGCAGAUGUUUUUCACUUGUUCCAUU
RNAcentral lists this long non-coding RNA (395 nucleotides) under Mytilus galloprovincialis (Mediterranean mussel). The record is from RNAcentral. Lineage: Eukaryota; Metazoa; Mollusca; Bivalvia; Mytilida; Mytilidae.